This 253-nucleotide ribosomal RNA is filed under the name Rhodothermales bacterium. RNAcentral describes it as "partial 16S ribosomal RNA". It matches the Rfam family "Bacterial small subunit ribosomal RNA", at positions 524 to 776 of the family's 1533-position model. Lineage: Bacteria; Pseudomonadati; Rhodothermota; Rhodothermia; Rhodothermales. The record is from RNAcentral. RNAcentral also lists the same sequence under 1 other name.
UACGGAGGGUGCAAGCGUUGUCCGGAAUCACUGGGUGUAAAGGGUGUGUAGGCGGGGCAGUAAGUCAGUGGUGAAAGCCUACGGCUUAACCGUAGAAUUGCCUUUGAUACUGCUGUUCUUGAAUACUGGAGAGGUCGCUGGAAUUCGUGGUGUAGCGGUGAAAUGCGUAGAUAUCACGAGGAACACCAGAGGUGUAGACGGGCGACUGGACAGUUAUUGACGCUGAGGCACGAAAGCGUGGGGAGCAAACAGG